This 219-nucleotide ribosomal RNA is filed under the name uncultured bacterium. RNAcentral's name for it is "partial 16S ribosomal RNA". It matches the Rfam family "Bacterial small subunit ribosomal RNA", at positions 111 to 334 of the family's 1533-position model. The record is from RNAcentral.
UAAUGUAUGGGGAUCUGCCCGAUAGAGGGGGAUAACUACUGGAAACGGUGGCUAAUACCGCAUAUGUCUACGGACCAAAGCAGGGGCUCUUCGGACCUUGCACUAUCGGAUGAACCCAUAUGGGAUUAGCUAGUAGGUGGGGUAAAGGCUCACCUAGGCGACGAUCUCUAGCUGGUCUGAGAGGAUGAUCAGCCACACUGGGACUGAGACACGGCCCAG